Homo sapiens (human) is the source of this 3524-nucleotide long non-coding RNA. RefSeq lists it as uncharacterized. The transcript is spliced from 2 exons. The record is from RefSeq and is a predicted model, not a curated record. NCBI's taxonomy places the organism in Eukaryota, Metazoa, Chordata, Mammalia, Primates, Hominidae.
UCCAGACACUGUAUGAAAAAAAGCAUUGUAAAACUUUUUGUUCUGUUAGCUGAUGCAUGUAGCCUCCACGCUUGCUUGAUGUAUCACGACCCUUUCACGUGGACCCCUUAAAGUUGUAAGCCUUUAAAAAGGCCAAGAAUUUCUUUUUCGGGGAGCUCAGCUCUUAAGACGCGAGUCUGCUGAUGCUCCCGGCCAAAUAAAAACCUCUUCCUUCUUUAAUCCAGUGUCUGAGGAGUUUUGUCUGUGGCUCGUCCUGUUACAUUUCUUGGUUCCCUGACCGGGAAGCGAGGUGAUUAAGGGAUGGUCCAGGCAGCCCCUUAGUUAGCUUAUGUCUGCCCUGUAGAGCAUCCCUGCAGGGGACUCUGGCCAGCUUGAGCAACACGGAUCCUAAGAGCGCUCCCGGGUAGGCAUUUGCCCCGGUUGAACACCUCACCAGAGCAGCGCACAGCAGGCCCCCGCGGAGGAUCAACGCAGUGGCUGAACACCGGGAAGGAACUGGCACUUUAAGUCUGGACAUCUGAAACUUGGUAAGACUGGUCUUUGGAACUUGCCACUCCUCUUGAGUGGAAGUGUGGCCUGAUCACCCAUGGCGUGCCUGUACCGGCACAUUGGUUUUUGUUUUUGACUUGACUUGAAUUGCUUGAUACUUUGGUUUUAGUUUUGAUUUUGACUUGACUUGAAUUGCUUGAUAAACAGACAUGCCUUUAUUGGCACUUUGGUUUUGGUUCUGAUUUUGACUUGGCUUAAAUUGCUUGAUGAACAGGUGUGCCUUUAACAACACUUUGGUUUUAGUUUUCAUUUUGAUUUAGUGUGAAUUAGAUGAGUGAGUGACCUUUUAUCCUUUCCUUCUUGUAGUGUGAAUGUUGUUUUGUCUCAAGAGAAAAAUAGGUCAGACACAAAGUAAGCCUACUCCACUAAGAACUGUGUUAAAAAAAAUUUUCAAAAAGAAAAAUAAAAGGAAAGUCAUCAAAUCAUCAAAACUUAUUCCAUUAAAAUGCAGGUUACAGAACCUUAAGAAGGGUUUUGCAGGAGAUUAUAGAGUUAAGUUAACCCCUAGAGGCUAAGAACUCUGUGUAAAUUAGAAUUGCCCUCUUUUGGUGUUGGAUGGCCCACCGAAGGAACUAUAGACAGGGAACAAUUGGCCAUGUAUUUAAGGUGGUGACAGGGGUUGGAGGACAGCCAGUGUACCUAGAUCAAAUUACUUUAUAUUGACUCAUGGUUAAAUAUAAUAUAGACAAAAUGGGCAUAAAUUUAGCCCUGUUUAACAGCUUAUUGCAAAAAAAGCCAAAAGUAAAAGUAAGAGCAGCUUCGCCAGCAGACAUGGAGUUAAAAAGGGAGUCCCAGAAACAGCAACAGAAGCCAGUUUUGCAGGAGCUGCCAGAGAUAAUAGAAAUUCUUUCUCCAUAUGUCCCAGCCUAUCCCCCUUUACCGAGGCCAACAGCCCCCUCAGAAAUGAGAUUCAGGAGCUAACAUGCCCCAGGUCUCACCUCAAAGGGGAGGAUCGGAGCCUCGAGAGGCCGAGGAAGGAAGUCAAGAUAGUCAAGUGGGCCCUCUCAGAUCUGGUCUUGCUCGAGCUAUGCAAAUGCCUCUCAGGGAGACGCGAGGACCUGUCUAUUAUAAUGACCAGGCCCACAUCUGGGGGGGCAACAGACUUUCAUCUAUCAGCCCUUUUCAACCAUUGAUCUACUAAACUGGAAAUACCCUGAACCCUCCACCUUGCUCCUGGCAGCUAGAGCCCUGUCGAGCAUAACUGUGUAGAGGUGUUGGACUCAAGUUUACUCUAGCAGACCUGACCUCCAGGACCAGCCUUGGGCAUCAGUAAACUGGGAGCUAUACGUGGACGGGAACAGCUUCAUCAACCCACAAGGAGAGAGAUGUGCAGAAUAUGCGGUGGUAACCCUGGACACUGUCGUUAAGCUGAGCUGAUUGCUUUAAUUCAGUCCUUAGAACUCAGUGAAGUUGCAGGUGUUGUGUCUUGGAUCCAUCACAGUCAGCUAACACUGGCAGCUCAGGACAAGUGGACCAGCCAGCAGGAUGCAGAUCACCCAACCUGGCUGAUCCUGAGACGAGACCAAGCUGCUGCUGAGGACGACAGCCCUGCUCUGGUCACUCCGGAGGCUGACCAGUCUACGCACGGCCGAAGCUUGAGGACUCAUCGAGCAAGUAAAUGUAGUUAAAAAUCUUAAGACUAAUAGUUUUCCUGUAAUACUAACUGUUUUCCUAUUGUUCGGUCGCUGUAUUCAACCUUUUUCCCAGGUAAGGACCUCUUUUGUCCUUGCUGGAUACGAAUAUGCUGUACAUUGUUUUGUUGUUGUUAACCCCCAUAACCAUGUUAGAAGAAACACCUAUAUAAGGUGUCCCCACUGUACACAUACUACUUAGGAAACCCAGACCUGUCCAGCCCAGUAACAAUUCUGAGUCUUUCAGUCAUUCUUUAAACAUAUAAACCAGAAGUUACCAGAACCUCCUCCUUUAGCAAAAACAGAAAAAACCUAUUUGCUCAGCUGGCUGAAAACAUUGCUAGCUGCCUAGAUGUUUCUUCAUGUUAUGUUUAUAAAAAGGCUAACAUAAGAGACCAAUGGCCUUGAGAAGCAAAAGAGUUAAUGCCUCAAGAUAACUUUAACUAGCUCUUUCCCCAAACAGAUGCCACAAGUUCAAGCAUCUGGCUCUUAAAACUUCUAUUAUUAAAAAAUACCAUGUUACUCACUAGGAAAAAGCUUUUAAGACACAGUAAAAAGAACUAACCUGCUUAAGGCAUGACAAAGUUGGUACAUGUGCAUAUACAGGUUUAACACAGGUCUGAUCCUAGGUGUUCAUUUAGAACAUAGUUUCCAGCUGUAAGAAAAUUUAAAACCCUCAUUGUAAGUGUAUUACUAGUAAUAGGAACUUGCUUGCUGCUCCCCUGUAUAUUAUAUUUGCUCCUUCAAAUGAUAAAAGGUUUUGUAGCUACCAUGGUUCAGCAGAAAACUUCAACACAAGUAUAUUACAUAAAAUACUAUCACUCUGUCUCACAAAAAGACUCAAAAAGUAAAAAUAAAAGAACUCCCACUGAUUAGUGAAAAUUCUCAAAGGGGGAGAUAAGGAAGGAGACCACUACUACUCCUGCUGCCCUCCUCUCCCCACCUUGCCUAGUUCGCAAGACAGGAGGAGAGAAAAACAAAAAGUUGGAAAAAAAACAAAAGUAAGAUAAACAGCCAGACAACCUUGGCACCACCACCCGGCCUUAGGAGUUAAAAAAAGUAAUAAUGAUAACCUCAACCCCUGACCUAAACUACUUGUGUUGUCUGUAAAUUUCAGACACUGUAUGAAAAAAAGCAUUGUAAAACUUUUUGUUCUGUUAGCUGAUGCAUAUAGCCCCCAGUCAUGUUUCCCAUGCUUGCUUGAUGUACCACGACCCUUACACGUGGACCCCUUAAAGUUGUAAACCUUUAAAAAGGCCAAGAAUUUCUUUUUCGGGGAGCUCGGCUCUUAAGACACGAGUCUGACAAUGCUCCUGGCCGAAUAAAAACCUCUUCCUUCUUUAA